UUCAAACCUUAGUCUGAAUGUUGAGGUUCAUGUCAAACCUGCUAUACCAAAUCCAAAAGUGGAGCAUGAUGGAAAAAACUUCUCCAUGGUCAUUGAAAAUAAUAAAAAGGUCUUUGAAGAGGACCUGUUAAAAAUUGGCUCUUUAGUCAGAAUAUUGGAAGAAAAAUGUGUCAAGCUAAAUGAAGAGAAGGAAAAAAUUGAGCAAACUAUGAAAAAAUUGCAAGGUUUUGACUGGCUAGCACAUCUAUAGCUAUUCUUUUUUAUCUGCUGGAAUCAUUGUAAAAAUGUUUUGACAUAUCUAAAGAAUCUACUUGACCAAAUCGACCAUUUAAUUUUGUGACACUGACAUGUCCUUCCAUGCUAGAUAUUACUUGUGUCGUACCAUUAAUUUAUAUGUUGAUUUAGGGAAUUACUAGCAUAUUUUGUUGAGACAUUUAUUUUCUCAAUCAACUUGAUGACCUUAAACAUUAUCUACUUUAUAUUAGGUAUGUAGAAAACAAUCCACAGCAUGCUGAAUCCGGCGUUUACUUACUCAAAUUUCGACAACUGCAGUCUCGAGCAUUGGGUAUGAUUCGCUCUCAUGUACUUUCUGUACUCAAAAGUGCGUCUUCUCAGGUUCAGUCAGCAAUCCGGAGCAAUAGUAGCAGCAAGGCAUCUCUUGCUGAGGGUGUAGAGGCAUCUGUUAUAUUGGCCAGGCUUUCAGAAAUGGGAACAAGCUUCCUUUUGCUGCUGCUCAAAUUGGCCAGGCUUUCAGAAAUGAGGUUCUUGGAUAUAUUUUUCAUCAGUCACAUAUGUAUAUUUUCAGUCAUCCCUAUCCAUACUUUUUCUACUAUGCAUUUGUUAUUACUUUUAGGAUCUCUAAAGCUCUGUUUGAUAAUUGGAUUCUAUUGAGAGAGCAGGCAAAUAAUUUUUUGUUAAAUCUUAAACUUUGUGGUAGGAAAAUGUAAUGUAUAUUGAUAGUAUUUAGAAUGAUUAUAUUGACUAUGAAAGAUACAAAUUUCAAAAUAAAGUUUUAUAUGGUUAGCUUUCUCUUUCUUUAACUUUAGUUGUUGUUGUUGUCAUUGUUUUUU
Humulus lupulus (European hop) is the source of this 1070-nucleotide long non-coding RNA. RefSeq lists it as uncharacterized. NCBI's taxonomy places the organism in Eukaryota, Viridiplantae, Streptophyta, Magnoliopsida, Rosales, Cannabaceae. The transcript is spliced from 5 exons. The record is from RefSeq and is a predicted model, not a curated record.